GAUGAACGCUGGCGGCGUGCUUAACACAUGCAAGUCGAACGAAUUUUGAUGAAGCUUAGCGAUUCAGAAGUUAGUGGCGGACGGGUGAGUAACGCGUGGGUAACCUGCCUUACACUGGGGGAUAACACUUAGAAAUAGGUGCUAAUACCGCAUAAGCGCACAGCUUUGCAUAAAGCAGUGUGAAAAACUCCGGUGGUGUAAGAUGGACCCGCGUCUGAUUAGCUAGUUGGUGAGGUAAUGGCUCACCAAGGCGACGAUCAGUAGCCGGCCUGAGAGGGUGAACGGCCACAUUGGGACUGAGACACGGCCCAAACUCCUACGGGUGGCAG
This 329-nucleotide ribosomal RNA is filed under the name uncultured Bacillota bacterium. Its description in RNAcentral is "bacterial SSU rRNA". It matches the Rfam family "Bacterial small subunit ribosomal RNA", at positions 28 to 351 of the family's 1533-position model. The record is from RNAcentral. Lineage: Bacteria; Bacillati; Bacillota.